AUUUGCUCUUUUGCUAAAUUCUCCCUCUUGCCCUUUCCCAAUUCUGGUCACCUCACCCUCCCACGCUGUGUUAAUAUUGAGAAUUAUCCAAGAGGAAAGGUGGAAAUGAGACAAGAAUGGCCUCAGAGGUGCGCUGGCAGCUGAUUAGAUGGUGCCCAUCCAGAUUAAGGAUGCUCAUUCCAGAGGGGUCCUGCCCCAUACCCAAGAGGAAGGAAUGCUACCCAGAGAGGCCAAGAAGAAUCUGCAUAGACAAGCCUUGUGUGUUCCCCACUUAGUCUAUCACAAUUAGAUUCUUCUCUUUGUCCAGUCAUGUUUCUACCUGGUUGCCAUUCCUCAUUGAACCUAAACAUAAAAUCAGUUUCCCCUUGGUGUUUAGGUCUUCAUUUCUGAUGGCUCCUGUGUCCUGUAUAACUUUGAUUAAAU
This 423-nucleotide long non-coding RNA is filed under the name Homo sapiens (human). RNAcentral's name for it is "HSALNT0233501". The record is from RNAcentral. Lineage: Eukaryota; Metazoa; Chordata; Mammalia; Primates; Hominidae.